ACUCCUACGGGAGGCAGCAGUGGGGAAUAUUGCACAAUGGGGGAAACCCUGAUGCAGCCAUGCCGCGUGUGUGAAGAAGGCCUUCGGGUUGUAAAGCACUUUCAGCGAGGAGGAAAGGGUAGUAAGUUAAUACCUUACAUCUGUGACGUUACUCGCAGAAGAAGCACCGGCUAACUCCGUGCCAGCAGCCGCGGUAAGUACGGAGGGUGCGAGCGUUAAUCGGAAUUACGUGGGCGUAAAGCGUGCGCAGGUCGGUUUGUUAAGCGAGAUGUGAAACGCCCCGGGUCUCAACCGUGGAACCGCAUUUCGAACUGGCAAACUAGAGUCUUGUAGAGGGGUAGAAUUCCAGGUGUAGCGGUGAAAUGCGUAGAGAUCGUGGAGGAAUUACCCGGUGGCGGAACGGCGGUCCCCCUGGACAAAGACUGACGCUCAGGCACG
RNAcentral lists this ribosomal RNA (438 nucleotides) under uncultured bacterium. RNAcentral's name for it is "bacterial SSU rRNA". It matches the Rfam family "Bacterial small subunit ribosomal RNA", at positions 335 to 755 of the family's 1533-position model. The record is from RNAcentral.